RNAcentral lists this long non-coding RNA (6908 nucleotides) under Brassica rapa (field mustard). Its description in RNAcentral is "long non-coding RNA (BRAP_LNC006977)". Lineage: Eukaryota; Viridiplantae; Streptophyta; Magnoliopsida; Brassicales; Brassicaceae. The record is from RNAcentral.
CUGGCGAUUUUUUUGUUGGAGAAUGUUAGAGGAAGCUCUUCAUCAGUAUCAUCAGCCUCACUUCUGUCUAUCCAGCUAUGAUGUCUACUCGAGUCCUUUGGAGUAUUGUCUACAUCGGUGGGAGAGUUUGGCUCGUCUGGUAACUCGCGGUACAAGUGUUUAAUUAUGAAAAGAGCAGUAUCGUUAUCUCUCCAAUAGUUUCUACACAAUAUGUAACACCCCUUUUGAGUUCUUGGCUCUACACGUAAAUGUAAUGUUUUAUUAAUGAUAAGUUAUAACUUACGUAUGAGCUCCUAUGGCUUGUAGAUACGGAUGCUCAAAAGUUUUAUCCUGCAUCGCCCAAAGAGACUAGCAUGCUUUAGCCAAAUCCAAUACAAGAGAAUAUAAAAGGCUGUUAAUUAGGUGAAGAUGCAAUAAUGGUUUAACCUGUAGCAUGUGAUCUAUUCGACCAUCUCGAGUUCCGGUCAACCUUUCCAUCAUUAAGGAACCAUAGGACCUUCCAUCCUUUUCGUCAUCGGUUUCUUCCGACUCUGUUCAAGUAGACAUUAGAAAGUAGACAGAUUCAUCGACUGUGCAGAUGCGGCCACUAAAAAACUUGCAAAGGAAAUCGAACUUUUACCUUCUAGUCUAUCCGAGCUUUUGGACUGGCAAAUAGUGAGAACUCUAGUCUGCAUUGAAUUAAAUAUGAGUCUUGUGUACGUUGAAUCACAACAGAUAACAACUUAAAAUCAUAAUUCAAGACGAAGAAAACUAGUUAGAAGUCUGAGAACACACACCCGUACAGAAUCAAAAUGAUUCAUUACUCUAUGUGAACGCGCUGCAAAAUCCUCUUUGAAAUCCUACAAAUAUUACAUAAGCAAACGAAUUAGCAAGAGGAAAAUAAUAAACAAAAACUGAACCACAAUAUUUUAAUUACCUGUAAUCCAAUAUGCAACCGCUUGCCACCUCUGUGAUAAGGAACUAUGACGGGUCGUUUGGGAAGGUACUCUUUGCACACAAGUGGCUCCACCCUGCGUGCACAAAACACAGUUUUGUGUUUCACACUUGCAAAAGAACGUAACAUAGAGAGAGAGAGAGAGACAUCAUAAAAUAACUAGAGAGACAGAGAUAUCAUAAACUAACCUAUAUGCAACAGGAUCAUAGGGGUGAAAAAUGUUGAACAUUCGACGACAAGCUGGCAUCUCUUCAAUUACAUUCUCCUCUUCCCAGUAAUCCUUUCCCUUACCUAAACAUGUUGAAACAGCUUUUACACCACGAAAAGGAAGGCGUAGACAAGCAAUUCAAUAUCAAAGCAAAGGCAUUACCUAUCCCAAUACGUAUAUUUCGAAGGGCUAGAAACACUCCGAGAGGAGACCCAACUGCAAAGAAAGUGUCAACCUGAACAGAAUAGGCAGAUGAAAGUUAGGAUGGCAUUUGCUUUCGGUGUGGUUUCGACUGAAAUAUUAUAGACACGUAAAUGAUACGAUCCCACACCUUGAAUUCGAGCUUUUGGUACUUGAUAUAAGGAGUAAAGCUUGUAGGUCCAUUGGCGUCGUUAGUUAGUGCCUUCUCAUUGAUCUGCUGCUCAGGCAUCACAGAUGCCUUGGCUUUUUCUGUUAAUAACACCAUUUCAUACAUGAGGUGAGUUUUCAAACACAACUCCAAAGUGUGGACAACAUAGAAAUCGAGAGUCAGAAUUAAUACCAUCCGCCAAUAUUCUGGCAUUUUCUGAUUGCAGUUGCGCUACCUUUGACCUCAAUGAUUUAAUCUGGGAUAACAAAUUUCAACGUUAGUGAAAAAAAAAUAACUCUUUUGUUUUGGUUAAUCAGUAAAGAAACUGGCAACACUUCCACAAAGAACACAAACCUAAGGAAGUAUGAGAUGCAACUGAAACUACAUAAUAUCAUCAAACAACUGAAGCCUAGAACUUGGAAGUGCCAACAUUUACCUCUUCCUGUAAUAACUUGAUUGCAGCCUCGUUAUUAGAAUCGCCACAUUUUAUCUCCCAAGAUUGUUCUGGAGAAGAGGAAGACGAACCAGGUGAUCUACAAUCAGCUCCAUCCUGUGAGGAAAUAGCACCACUAGAAUCAUGACGGUCAUCUUCCUCGCUGCCUCUUCUCUCCAAGCCCACGUUAUCCACAGCAGAAUCAGAGACCGAUGAAGAAGCCUCUUGGACGACAUGGUGAUGCUCCAAUACCGUUGAUUCUUUAUCCAUCAUGUCAUUAUCUUGACCUGUGGUUUCCUCCUUGUUAUUCAAAAGGUUAGAUUUCUCUGGCUCAAGAUUCGAUGAUUGAUGCGAGCUACAAGGUUUGUCAGCUCUUUCUGGAAUUGGAGGAGAUUCUUCAUCUGGAAAAAAUCUCUUGUAUACUGCAUCCAUCGGAAACGGGGAUGACAAAUUGCGCUGAUGACAUAGGAUGUCAUAAGAGAGAACGCUCCCCAGAGAAUGUCCAUAAAUGGAUAUCUGUAUGAUGUUCAUGAACAGAACAUGACUUCUUAAUUUAAUGCGAGUUUACAAUAGUCACAGGUUGAUGAAUGAAAAGACUAAACCAGAUGGGCACCUUUCCAUCAUAGUCCGGAUUCCGCUUUAUAAAUUUGAGAUACAGUCUAUUCAGCUGGUUUGAAACCUGGAAGAUGUAAAGGAGCACACAUUACAACAAUGCAGAAGAUGAAAGUAACAACAACGUCUAUUUUAAUAUUAAAUCAACUUGGCACUACUGAAACAAAAAAAGUAUCAAAGUUGAGAGAUUGCACUACCGAAUCAAUUAUAGCCUGACAAUAAAUGGGGCUCAUGUAGUAUAACACAUCAUGAACAGUUGCGCUCAGCAUCUCUCGCAAACGCCGUACACCUUCUAGUGUACAUUUAUCAACAGCAGCUUCACCACUUAGCUUUAGACCUUUUCUCCACUACAAAAACAAUUGAGAGAGAACGAAUUUGUGAAGUUAAAUCAUACUAUACAAAUAUAAACCAGAAAAGUGUGUUUACAUAUAUAUAUACCUGGCAUGGGAUGAAAAGGACUCUUUGAGUUCCACGCUGGUGAGAGGUCAGAUGACGUUCACCUAAAGCUGCUGUGAUUUGACGGAAGUUUCCAACGUCGUCAACAAGAUUAGACUUCUCAACUUUUUGACCGAUACCAUGAACCAUAAACACAAGAUGUCGAACAGGGACCUGGACACAAUAACACAGAAUAGAGUUGUUUCAGGGAGCUGGAAAAUAUUGAGACAUUCUGAAGAUAAUUUUACAAUAGAAUUCAGAUGCUCUAUACUAAGACAUACUUGAGAACAAUAGUCAUCCAUUUCUUCCUCUUUCUGUUGGCGUAGUUCUUCCUGAACAAAAGCACAAGAAAUAUGAUUCAGUUGCACAGUAAACGCUCAGCCAACUUUCAAAAUUUCUGAUGAGAUCUUAGAAAACAGAUGUGAGACUUAGUUCCAAAACAUUUUUUAAGAACCUGUGUAGGUUUAGGAGAGUAGGAGCCAGCAUAACCACGUCUCAGCUUAAUUCCAUUUCCAGUAUAGCCAACAAUGCCAGAGAAUCCAGAGGGAUCAACAUUAAGCCAAGCUUCCCAAGUAUCAUCCUCCCCGGUAAAUAGAGCAUGAAGUCCCUGCAUUAACAACUUAAUCUAAGCAAUCAUUCAGCUGAAAAGAUAAGUACAUUUUUUUUACUCAUGGAUUCAAACACAUACCAAACUGGAACCCUGCAAAUCAACUCGAGCUGCAAAAAGACCAGAGGGUUGGAACCUUCUUCUGCGCCAGACCUGCGUGAACGGAAUCCAAAUAAAUUGGUGCUAUUAUCUUGUCAUCAACAACUUCCAGGAAUUCCAACAAAAAGAAAAAUCACCAAUUGUUUCUAUUAGCCAACAUUUCUGACCUUGUUACGAUAUGCAACCUCCAACUGUUCAGCAACAGUUUCAGGAAUUGGAAGCCAGUCUAGUCCACCUUUACGAGCAAACCAGUGGCCUCUAAGCACACGCCUAUUAUCCCCAUUCCAGUACACGGGAAAACAAUGCCUCCUCACCAAGUCCACCUGCAGCAUUCCGGUUCCUUGGUCAGAAAAAAAUGGAUUGAAACAUAAGGACUCUAAUGGUUCCGUUCAACUAUGAAAAAUCUACAUGAAAAUUACCAAAACCUAGUUAAGUCUCUCCAAAGAGAACAGUAGUACCUCGUAUAGCCCACCCUUAACGGGUACACCAACUCUCUCCUCUUCAACAUCAUAUAGACUGGAUGAUACAGAAGCUUCUUGAAGGGUUUCCAUUGACUGCUUAUUGGAUUUCUUUUUAGAAUUAACUUGUGGUAUAGGGCCUAUGCUGCAUUCUGCAUACUCUUUCCACCAGAAUGACAGCAACUCAUCCUCUCUCUAUUUCCCAGGAGGAGAAAAGAGCAAUCGUUUCAUUCAAAUUUUGAACCAAAGAGCCACCAGAAUUCAACAACUUAGAAGAAGAAGAAGAACCUGGAGGAAAGAAGCCUCAAUGGCAAGAGAAUCCCUCAUCCCAAAACGGAAGUACUCACUCUUUCCUACUACGUCAGUGCGAGGUACUGAAGCAGCUAACUCUGCACAAAACAAAAUAGAGAAAAAAGCAUCAAUCUCUUAUUCUCAGUGAUCAACUAUGCCCACCAUUACAUAGACAUUGGAAGCUAUAAGAAGCCAACAAAGACUGACCGUUCUCAGCUAAAGGAACCUUACAGAAGUACCAGCGAACAUCACUGCCAUCUGAAGGGCUUCUGGUCUGAGUGAGAUACUUUUGUCUGCCAUGGCAUUGCUCAAUCACAUCUUCUAAUCCGGCGAUGUUGGAAGGCGUGUUCUUCAACAAAUCCGGAGAGGUUGUAUUAACCGCCGGACUACUUCUUUCUGCAUCUUCCAUCUGAUCAAAACCACAGAAACCUUAAAUCAGUAAGUUUGGUGUAUCAACAAGGCAAGUCUGAUCUCGAAUCAAAUUCGAGUUCCGGUAACCAAAACCCCCUACAUAUAGAAUCUAGAAUCUGAUCAUACCCAGAACAAAAAAAAAGCUUCAAGGAAUCACGAGAAGAGGUGGCGAAAGAUUUCGACAGAAGAGGAAGAAGAAAGAAAACAAAACAAAGGUCGUGGUGACAGCUGGGAAACCGAUUUGAAGGUUUGGUUUUGCUGAAAGAAUAUUCGUGAGAGACCCAAACUUUUGUUUAAGCGGUUGCGUGUACUGUCAUCUCUCAACUACUGCCACGUAGAUGCCACGUCAGCGCUCCGCAGCCGAACCAAAUUUUGGAUAUUGUUAUUUUUCAAGUUAGAAUAAUCUACCGAAAUUGAAAAUUAGCAAAAAGACGAGACGACCAAAAUUGCGCAGUUAAGAUGUUCUAACCAGGGCCGGACUUCAACAAUGCUACAGUGAAACAUUUGUAAAAAGUUUCUAAAAUUUUUGAAAAAAAUUAUAUAGACAUAAAUCUCCAAAAACUAAUUUUUAAGUUUCUAAACGGGUAAAAAAAAAUUUUUACAUAAAAUAUUGUUAUAGAUCUCCAAAAUCUCAGAACCGGCUCUAGUUUUAGCCAUGGAUUCCGAUUCAGCCCAUAAAUAUGAAGCUUACUGUUGAACAACUGUGGCCUAUCGAAUUCUUUUUAUUUGUAAUCAUGUUACUCUUGCGAAUUGAACUUGUAACUAACGACCGGACAAAACCAACAACAAACCAUACAUCAAAGCCAUAUCCCGUUGUCGAACAUUUCUUAAGAAUCAUAAUUCAUAAAUACUAAAGUCCUCACUGGAUUACUGCCACUGAAAACCUAUCCAGAUCAAUGUUCGACCCAUAAUUAAGCAACCAAUAUAUCGUAGACUUGUUCUGAACAUGAAAAAAGAGGAUUCUAACCAAGGAAGGUGAAGCACAGGUCGCUUUCUCACUAAUCUAUAAAGGCCGCAGCAAUUACUCAUUGUUGGUUAAAUAAUAGUAUGUACCAACUUCAUGUAGAAGUCGAGUCUAAUUUCUUUAAAUGGUUUUGUUUUACAGAAACCAUGGAUUACGUCAACUGAUGCUUAAACAUUAAUGAAAGACAAGCCACACACCAAAUCUUAACCACUUCAAUUCACGGAAUGUUUUUUGUUUUGUUUUGUAAAUGAGACGAUAAAAAGUUGGUUGAUCUACCCACGUGCCGUGAUAUAUGAGGAUUAGUCUACGAUGCAAGUUUCCUUAGUUAUCAGUUCUUGUUUUGAGUUACGUUCAAUCUGAUCAUAUUACGUUUUCACACUUCAUGACUUCAAAGUAAAUACAUGCAAAAACAUUUACAAUUUAAUACACCACAUUGUUAAAAUAAAACUGAUAAUAUAAGAAAUUAAAUACUCAAGCCCCACUCAAACACACAAUUAUAAAGAAAACUCCACUUUAAAAUAAGCUGUUUCCUAUUUUAACCAUAGUAGAUGUCACAGAGUCACAAUCACCAAGAACUAAUAUUUUAAAAUAAUACAAUGUAUGGUUUAAAUUUUUUUAAAAAUUUGUCUCUAAUUCAACAUUUUUCUAAGUUAGAUUUUUCCCUUUUUUUUUCUUUUUUUUUUCUUUUUCUGUAGAUUUUUUUAUUUUUUUUCUAAUUACCGCAAAAAAAAAUAAACAAUCUACUCUAUUAAAACAACAGUGUGACCCAUUGAUAUAUGUUCAGUCCAACAAUUAUUUCAUCUACCUUUACUUUUUUAUAUGAUAACUGCAUUGCCCUUUUAAUUAACCACCACAAGAUAUCGUGUAAGUUGUUUUAAUUUUCAAAAGUAACCACUACAUGUUCACGGCUACUCCUAAAAAUCAGGAUAUAUUAUAACUGCAUCAGUAGAUCUUAAUUAAUUAAAAGUUAAACAUCAUUUAUAUUAAUAUGCAAAUAUGUAGGAACCUCUAUUUAUAUGUAAUUCCGUUUUUACAGGUUCUUUUCUACUAAUCAGGACCAUUUAAAAUCUAAUUUAAAUAACUUUACCACCAUUUAAAUUGCCUACA